AACCUGCCCAUGAGUGGGGGAUAACGGGCCGAAAGGCUCGCUAAUCCCGCAUACGAUCCGCUUCGGUGGAGGAAAGCCGUAAGGCGCUCAUGGAGGGGGCCGCGCCCCAUUAGAUCGUUGGUGUGGCAAUGGCGCACCAAGUCUGUGGUGGGUUCCGGGUCUGAGAGGACGAUCCGGCAGACUGGGACUGAGACACGGCCCAGACUCCUGCGGGGGGCAGCAGCAAGGAAUUUUCCCCAAUGGGCGCAAGCCUGAGGGAGCAACGCCGCGUGGAG
This 275-nucleotide ribosomal RNA is filed under the name uncultured bacterium. Its description in RNAcentral is "partial 16S ribosomal RNA". It matches the Rfam family "Bacterial small subunit ribosomal RNA", at positions 123 to 406 of the family's 1533-position model. The record is from RNAcentral.